AAGCAUAUCAAUAAGCGGAGGAAGAGAAACUAACCAGGAUUCCCCUAGUAACGGCGAGCGAACCGGGAAGAGCCCAAAGUGAGAAUCUCCGGCCCUGGGCCGGCGAAUUGUAGUCUAUGGAAGCGUGCUCUGUGACGGCUCGGGUCCAAGUUCCCUGGAAAGGGACGUCGGAGAGGGUGAGAACCCCGUGGGCCCCGACCCCCGCCACCCCACGAGCCGCUCUCCUCGAGUCGGGUUGUUUGGGAAUGCAGCCCCAAGCCGGUGGUAAAUCCCAUCUAAGGCUAAAUACCGACGGGAGACCGAUAGCGAACAAGUACCGCGAGGGAAAGAUGAAAAGAACUUUGAAAAGAGGGUCAAAAGUGCUUGAAAUUGUUGAGAGGGAAGCGAUUGGAAGCCGUGGGUGCCCCGAGGGCCACGUGGACUGGUCCCCCAGUCCUCCGAACCCACUCGGGGCUGGUCAGCAUGGGUUGACCGGGAGGGACAAGACCGGGGGUGGAACACCCCGGCCAUGCCUCCCGGGCGACCGAGGACCCGGGGAGCGCCCCAGUCGAGCUCGCUCGAUCCGCGCCCCCAGGAUGCUGGCAGAAGGUGUCCAAUCGGCCCGUCUUGAAACACGGACC
RNAcentral lists this ribosomal RNA (620 nucleotides) under Prototheca cutis. RNAcentral describes it as "eukaryotic LSU rRNA". It matches the Rfam family "Eukaryotic large subunit ribosomal RNA", at positions 36 to 667 of the family's 3401-position model. The record is from RNAcentral. Lineage: Eukaryota; Viridiplantae; Chlorophyta; Trebouxiophyceae; Chlorellales; Chlorellaceae.